This 107-nucleotide small nuclear RNA is filed under the name Carlito syrichta (Philippine tarsier). Lineage: Eukaryota; Metazoa; Chordata; Mammalia; Primates; Tarsiidae. The record is from RNAcentral.
GUGCUUGCUUCGGCAGCACACAUACUAACAUUGGAGCAAUACAGAGAAGAUUAGCAUGGCCCCUGCGCAAGGAUGACAGGCAAAUUCGUGAAGCGUUCCAUAUUUAA